Long non-coding RNA from Poecilia latipinna (sailfin molly), 806 nucleotides. RefSeq lists it as uncharacterized. The record is from RefSeq and is a predicted model, not a curated record. The transcript has 2 exons. NCBI's taxonomy places the organism in Eukaryota, Metazoa, Chordata, Actinopteri, Cyprinodontiformes, Poeciliidae.
UACCCUCAUAUAGUUAAGAAAGUUUUACAGAAGCUUAUUUUGAUACUUGUAUCAACAAAUGUAUAUAUAUAUUAAAUGCUGCAGAGCAAUGUUUUGUGUUCCAGCAAAGUUGAGAUGUAGAUUGCUAGCUGCAUUGGAGAAAACAGCCCAACUACAAUUGUAAUGCAGUAAUAAUCAACCUAUAAUAAAUCUUGAUAUAAAAUAAAUCAGUAAGCAAAUUGUGAAGGCUUUGAAAAGCCUUGGGGUGUGACUCCACAUUUUGCCUCAUUUGGCGAAUGAGAAUCUAUGAAUAUGCUAAUUCGCUUCUGCCUAUAUCCCCAGGGUCAGCGGUUGACAUUGGCCUUCAUUGUCCCUUCUGACUGCAAAACUGUCUCUGUCUCGCUACUGCCACAAUACAGCUCAGAAAAGGAAGACGACAACUAACGACAUCUACACCUCCAGAUGCAGGAAAAGGGCCUCCUGCAUCAUGAAGGACCCUACUCACCCAGCACACUCACUUCUUGUCCCGCUCCCCUCAGGUAGGAGGUUGCGGAGCAUCAAAUGCAGGACAACCAGAUUGAGAAACAGCUUCAUACCAGAAGCUGUGCGACUCUUAAACUCCCAUCAUUCUCCCUUAUUGCACUGCUCUUAGCUAUACACUUUUCCUACUUGUAAUAUUGUGCUCUUGCAGCGAUUUUAUAUUUUAUAUUUUAUACUUUUAUAUUUAUAUUUUUAUAUUUGGAUGUAACUGGGGCUGUGACUCUCAAUUUCGUUCCACCUCAUGUGAUACGUGAUGUGAAUGACAAUAAAGUAUCUUGAAUCUUGAA